GAUGAACGCUGGCGGCGUGCCUAAUACAUGCAAGUCGAGCGAACGGACGAGAAGCUUGCUUCUCUGAAGUUAGCGGCGGACGGGUGAGUAACACGUGGAUAACCUACCUAUAAGACUGGGAUAACUUCGGGAAACCGUAGCUAAUACCGGAUAAUAUUUUGAACCGCAUGGUUCAAAAGUGAAAGACGGUCUUGCUGUCACUUAUAGAUGGAUCCGCGCUGCAUUAGCUAGUUGGUAAGGUAACGGCUUACCAAGGCAACGAUGCAUAGCCGACCUGAGAGGGUGAUCGGCCACACUGAAACUGAGACACGGUCCAGACUCCUACGGGAGGCAGCAGUAGGGAAUCUUCCGCAAUGGGCGAAAGCCUGACGGAGCAACGCCGCGUGAGUGAUGAAGGUCUUCGGAUCGUAAAACUCUGUUAUUAGGGAAGAACAUAUGUGUAAGUAACUGUGCACAUCUUGACGGUACCUAAUCAGAAAGCCACGGCUAACUACGUG
This 497-nucleotide ribosomal RNA is filed under the name uncultured bacterium. RNAcentral's name for it is "partial 16S ribosomal RNA". It matches the Rfam family "Bacterial small subunit ribosomal RNA", at positions 28 to 507 of the family's 1533-position model. The record is from RNAcentral.